UCCAACAAUGAUUACUGUCACUUUCUGAGAUUUGGUAAUUACGCAUUCUUUCCAGCUAAGGGUCGGUAAUAGUGCAGCUUCCACCGGCCCUGGGUUACUGUGCUCUCACCUGGAUCACUCUGGUUUCUCUUACCCAUACUUUGGGAAAUAGUCCCCACACAAUAAAAUCUCCUGAAGUUAUUUCAUUUUGAGAGUGCCAUCUGCUUCCUGUUGGGAGUCUGACUGAUACUUCUAUUUCCUCUCAUACUUCGACAACAUAUUUCAGGUUCGAACUCAAACACUACCUCUUUCCUUCCUACCACCCCAUCUCACCACCACACGCAGAAUUAUUUGGCCAGCACUCUGACAGCCCACCAUUCCUAAGCUCUCCUCCAUUGUGGUUCUUACUGGAUUCUAUGGGAGUUGUUUCUUGUAUGUCUGGUUUAUUCCUCCCUUUCCACACCAGACGGUGAGCUCUUCAAGGCAGGCAUGCAUUUUACUCACUUCUGGUCUCCGGUGUUUUGCUUUGCUCCUUUUUGUGAGCAUGCUCAGGCCAGCCAUGGGUUGCUGGCAAGGGUCACUCUAGUUUUAUAGGAUGCAUCAUCUUCUUCCUAGAAUUGCUGCUUAUGACAUUUAAUCCAUACCGGGCACUGUGCGUUGAUUUUUCUAACUCUGUUGAGAAACUUGGCAUGAUGAUAUCUACAUAAUCAGGGAACCAGAGGAGGUGAUCUUGCUCAGUAGGACCUGAAGAAAAACUCUGUCCCAAUUUGCAUUAUGAUUAGUAAACCCAAUCAAGUCACGUCCUAUCAAUCACUGUAUAUUAAGAAUCUACUAUGUGCCAAGAGCUGCAUUCACCCUAGUAGAAUGACAGGACUUUCAGAUAAGAGCUUUUGGACACCUUACAAAGAGACUUGGAGACAAAAAGUAAGCAGAGACAAAACACAUUCUUCUUAUUUUGAGCUCCCAGGUUGGGCAAUAAUGCCGGCUCAAGAAGUCACAGAGUCUUCCCUCCUUCCCCCUUUACUUCUUUUUCUUAUCCUUCCUGGCAGGAGAGUCCUGCAGCCUAAAAUGCCAAAGUUUUGUAGUAAAUAAAGGCUCUGCUCAGAAUUUUCUCACUACGGGCAGAGACGUAGAAAGCCAAGUAUGACACAGGCUAAGAUUCUAAAUGGCGAUUUGACUUGGUUAUCACCUAGAACCCAAGGCUUGUAUGACUGUCCAUAGCAUCACAGGCAUCAGGGUGGUGGGGACUGCUGUCCAAGGCCCCUUUUUGGUCACUAUCUCCUUCUGUCUUCUGUCAUCUAUCCCUGAACUUCGUGGGUUCCAGCGGAGAUGGAUCAGUCUGCACAGCUAGAAUCCUCCUGGUCACAGCACAUGUCCCAAGGAAGCCUUAUGCCACUCAGGUCAUCAUAUCCAUGGACUCAGAUGAAUCCAAUGACAAGACUGGGAAUUUCCAAGGCAGACAUAUGAGUCUCCUCUGAUGCUUCACCUACACGCUUCAGAUUCCACAGGCCCAGGGGGGCGAGGAAGCUGCACAAAGAAGGACCAGCAGGAGCCCAGAAUCUUCAAUGUUGGAGGAAGUCAUGGAGAGGACGUGACCACAGUUUGACCCCCACAAGCCAGGCGGGCAAUCAGAGGCUCCUCACCCCUCCCCCGUCCUUGGACUCAAUCACCUUCACACAGUGGGGGCCCCCGCUUUCAAGGUAGAGGCCUUGAGGGGGCUAACUGUUGUUGAGGCCUUUGGGAGGUUUACACGGCUUGACCCAGUUAAGGCUUCUAAGUAAACGUUUAAGAUUCUGGUGUGUGGGGAGCCUGGGUCGUUCAGUCUGUUAAGCUGCUGACUCUUGAUUUCAGCUCAGGUCAUGAUCUCAUGGUUUGUGAGAUCUAGACCCACUCAGAGCUCUGUGCUGACAGGGCGGAGCCUGCUUGGGAUUCUCUCUCUCCCUUUCUCUCUGCCCUCUCUCUGUGCACACACGUGCUCCCCCCCCCC
This is a long non-coding RNA of Acinonyx jubatus (cheetah), 1966 nucleotides long. RefSeq lists it as uncharacterized. The record is from RefSeq and is a predicted model, not a curated record. Lineage: Eukaryota; Metazoa; Chordata; Mammalia; Carnivora; Felidae. The transcript has 3 exons.